RNAcentral lists this ribosomal RNA (332 nucleotides) under uncultured eukaryote. RNAcentral's name for it is "partial 18S ribosomal RNA". It matches the Rfam family "Eukaryotic small subunit ribosomal RNA", at positions 1470 to 1796 of the family's 1831-position model. The record is from RNAcentral.
CCCUUAGAUGUUCUGGGCUGCACACGUGCUACACUGGCAGGUUCAGCGAGCUUCAUGCCCUGAUCUGAAAGGAAUGGGAAAUCUUUUCAAAACCUGCCGUGCUUGGGAUAGAUGUUUGCAAUUAUUCAUCUUCAACGAGGAUUGCCUUGUAAGCGCACGUCAUCAGCGUGCAUUGAAUACGACCCUGUAUUCUGUACACACCGCCCGUCGCUCCUACCGAUUGAAGUUUUCGGUGAGUUUACAGGAGGAUUUUUUUGAAACUGGUUCGCCAGUGGAUUUUAGAUCCAAAUGCCAACGAAUCGAUGGCUUUAGAGGAAGGAGAAGUCGUAACA